This 164-nucleotide ribosomal RNA is filed under the name Oxalis drummondii. Its description in RNAcentral is "5.8S ribosomal RNA". It matches the Rfam family "5.8S ribosomal RNA". From Rfam's summary of the family: 5.8S ribosomal RNA (5.8S rRNA) is a component of the large subunit of the eukaryotic ribosome. It is transcribed by RNA polymerase I as part of the 45S precursor that also contains 18S and 28S rRNA. Functionally, it is thought that 5.8S rRNA may be involved in ribosome translocation. Lineage: Eukaryota; Viridiplantae; Streptophyta; Magnoliopsida; Oxalidales; Oxalidaceae. The record is from RNAcentral.
AAAAUGACUCUCGGCAACGGAUAUCUCGGCUCUCGCAUCGAUGAAGAACGUAGCGAAAUGCGAUACUUGGUGUGAAUUGCAGAAUCCCGUGAACCAUCGAGUUUUUGAACGCAAGUUGCGCCCCAAGCCGUUAGGCCGAGGGCACGCCUGCCUGGGUGUCACAC